Molecule: long non-coding RNA, 209 nt
Filed under: Vitis vinifera (wine grape)
Lineage: Eukaryota; Viridiplantae; Streptophyta; Magnoliopsida; Vitales; Vitaceae
Description: long non-coding RNA (VVIN_LNC006218)
Source: RNAcentral
UUAUCAAGUACAAGCCAUUGGAAGGUGGUUCAAGGUGAGGGUCUUUAGUGUUUGAAGCCAUUAAUGGGAAGCAACUACCAUUUUUCAAGAACCCUUUGGAUCAAAACUUAUUUGCUAAAUACAAAUCCGGUUUGGGAGAUAACCAUCCUUUAUGUUAUUGUCCCCAAUGCGAGGAGAAGAUCUGGAAUUUCCCACUUUGCAACAGGAAC